RNAcentral lists this unclassified non-coding RNA (338 nucleotides) under soil metagenome. RNAcentral describes it as "partial contains 5.8S ribosomal RNA, internal transcribed spacer 2, and large subunit ribosomal RNA". The stretch from base 1 to 120 matches the Rfam family "5.8S ribosomal RNA", at positions 35 to 154 of the family's 154-position model. The record is from RNAcentral.
GAUGAAGAACGUAGCGAAAUGCGAAAAGUAGUGUGAAUUGCAGAAUUCAGUGAAUCAUCGAAUCUUUGAACGCACAUUGCGCCCGGUAGUAUUCUGCCGGGCAUGCCUGUUCGAGCGUCAUUUCAACCAUCAAGCCCCAGCGCUUGUGUUGGGGGCCUGCGGCUGCCGCAGCCCCCUAAAAGCAGUGGCGGGCUCGCUAUCACACCGAGUGCAGUAGUUCAUCUUCUCUCCGGUCUUGUGAGGCGGGUUCCGGCCGUGAAACACCCCACUACAUUCAAGGUUGACCUCGGAUCAGGUAGGAAUACCCGCUGAACUUAAGCAUAUCAAUAAGCGGAGGA